GUCCACGCCAGCCGCGGGACGUUCUUAUUGGCGCUUCCCAGGCGAGGCGCUGAUUGGAUGUUGCCGGGUGACGGCUAUUAGGGCGCGUGAGGGAGUUUUCUGGGAAGCGGGAAAGAGGCGGCGGCGGUCUGUGCUCAGUUGAGGUGGAGAAAGAGGCGCCGAAGGGCGGCGUGUGGAAGUCGCUCCCCUCACUCUGGAUGUGUGUAAAUGCUUUUUCCUUCACUGGCAGAUACGCCUAAGCACAUAUAACCAGUGCGUAAGUCCCAUUGAACUCACUGGGUGUUUGUUGAUUUAUGUAUGUACUUAAAAUAAUUUUAUUUUACCUCCGCGUUCAUUCGUUUACUGCAUUUAUACACCUUUUUCUCCAAGGAGCUCACGGUGACAUACAUGGUUCAUUAAAAAACACACAACCCAGUGCACUAAUGAUAAUAGCAAUGAAAAAUUAAAUCCUUUAAACUAAAUUCAGUUAGCCAACCCUUGCAAUAAAAUAGGGUCACUACCCCUCACUAUUCAAAUCGCUGAUGUGAGGAUAAAACACUAGAUAAAAAAAUAAUUUCCCCCGUUCUAAAAAAAAAACCCCAACCCCGUAGGUUUUUAUUAGAUUGCAAUUGCUGACACAUAAGCGUCCUUGAGGAAGAUGAAAAGUGAUACUCUUAUUUCCUCUGAAUACCCAAGGGACUAAUUUUGAAGUUGCUGCCACCUCUUGGGAAAAAGCCACAGUGUUUAUAAGCAUCCUGUCUAGUUUUACAACGGUCUCUGAUUUCUGAAGCAUUGAGAACAAAUCAACAGACCUUAAAAACACUUGAGGAAACUCUUGAUUCAAAAGCUUACUGCAUUGUUACUCUGCUGCUCAUGAUUUAAUAAUACGAGGAGCACAGACUGCUUGUUGCUUGGUUAGGUUAUCCAGACAUUUUUUCUGCUAAGCAUCUCUCUUAAAGAAUAAGCAGAUGAUCCAUUUUUUAUCUACAAACGGUAAGAAUUUAGUGUGAUGAAGUAACUCACUUGGUUAACCUGCAAGUAUAGUUAAUUUCCAAUUAAAAAACCAUACCACUGGGCUUUGCCAAUUAAUUUAAAUCACCUGGGGGGCAGGAAAACCCUUACUGAAUAAAGCAGUCAUAUACUCUAUACCUGAGCAGGGGAGGGAGGUGAAAUUCCACCAGGAUGGCCACCAUAUUCUACGUGUGCUCAGCUUGGUACAGAAGGAGGGAAAUACAAAACAUAGGAAAGUGGUAUGAAAUAGCAGACACUGCCCCAGCAACCCUCAAUAGACUGUGAAUGCUGAACAAUCGGAUGUACUGCCUACAAAAGAGGCCAGUGAAUCCACAACAAGGACAUGCCCUCAGCAUUGUUGCAUGUACAGUGAUGCCAGACCACUCUCAAGUCAUCACUCCCAGGCACAGCCAGCAAUGCCCAUAGUAUAGCAAGUCUCCAGCUAUCCUUGCGGGUAGAGAUUUGAAUCCCUUAUGCUCCUCACAAGAACUAUCUGGAAUGAAGGAGAGGCCAUGUAAUACAACAUAUGCAUAAGCUCCCUGGGCAGAGUACCUGCAGAGUGCAUAUAAAUCAUCCCUGGGGUUCUGAUCCCACCCAGGGAGGGAAAGACUUUGGGAGGGGGGUUGCACCUUCAAAGGGAAAGGGCCAGGUGAAGAAUCAACAAUGAGAAAUACAGAUAUGCACCGAGUUGAGAAGCAGGAGAUGGGAAUUCAGGACCCGCCAGGGGAAAAGGGGGAAGUGUGCCUGCUUCCUCUUGCUCCCAGCCCAAAAACUACUCAAAGAUGCCAUGAUCACGUUAAGGAGCCCUGGCCAGGUGGAACACCUUACAUUUUGCAUGCAGAGGAUCUCUGGUUUGAAUCCAGCAUACAACUCCGGGAAGCCUUCAUGGACCAAUAGCCUGACUCUUGCAAGGCCCAGUCCUUUUGACUCUCUCUCCUGGUGGUAACUUGCAUAACCAACCUUCUCCCUCAUCUGUUUUGCCCAAUAAGCCAGCCUUGCCAGGCAGCAUCUCAAUAAUUUUCGUUAUCAUUUCUCCACCGCUUCCUCCUCCCCUCCUUCCGUUUGACUGCCUCAAACACCCUGGUAACAUCACACUCCAGGGUACUUGAGAGAGCAGACAAUGGAGUGUUCCACCGGUGUAUCUGUCAUGGUGACAAAAUAUCUCGUGUUCUGUCAGUGUAGUGGGGCGUCUGCCAAAUCCUAUGGCCCCAUAGCCAACAGUUGUUGAGUAUAGAGUAUUUCAUAGAAUUAUAGAAUUGCAGAGUUGGAAGGGACCACAAGGGUCAUCUAGUCUUUCCCUGAAUCAUUAAUUUAAUCAGCUUUCCAGUUUUUUAUUUUUUAAAAAUUUCUAUAAGAAUUGCAAAUCACAAAGUUCAGUAAAAGUCCUACCCUGCUAAUUCAAUAAAAAAUAUGUGAGGGAGGGAGGGGGUUGUUGGUUUGUGUUAGUUUUUAUUUUAUUAUGUGUUUUGUAUUCUCAUUUUGUAUUUUUAUGUUGUGAGCUGCCUUGUGAUCUUCGGAUGAAGGGAGGUAUACAUAUUUAGCAAACAAACAAACAAACAAUAAAAGACAUACUUUAAUGCUGAAAAGAAUGCUCUUAACUCUCCAGGCCUAUACUAUUUCCAGUAGGGAAUAUAUGGGGGGUGCUUUAAAUGUAUGGUUUGUAUGUAACCAAAGUCUCAGUGCAAUAGACAUACAUGUCUAUUUAGACUUAAGUUCCAUUUAUUUCAUUGAGACUUUUUCCCAGGCAAGUGAGUACUGGACUGCAGUCUCAGGUACACCGAUAAGGUUUUCCAAAAGUUGCUGACCUUUGUAAAAUAAGCCACCAUCUUGGAGUCACUUAACAAGGUGGUCAGAAAAAGCACACAUGAAAUAUUGAAAAGUAAACUUCUCAGUUGAAGCCAUAAUUUCUGUAAUUCACUAGAGGGAGCUGUUGAAUCAGAAUACAGCGGUACCUCCCGUUAGGAAAUUAAUUCGUUCACAAGGUCCGUUCUUAAGCUGAAACCGCUCAUAAUGACGCCUGCUGCUGCUGCGCUGCCGGCACGCGAUUUCCGCUCGCAUCCUGGGCAAAUUUCGCAACCGGGAGCAUCUACUUCGGGGUUAGCGGAGCUCAUAACCCAAAGCGUUUGCAAGGAGGACAGUACGUAACACGAGGUUCCACUGUAGUUUUCCAAAGUCUAGUUCCUUAUAAAUAUUGAAAAUAAAACAUACUCUUUUAAAAUUCUGGUUAUACUCAAAUAAUGUUUUUGUGAGCUAAGGUGGGAUAAUAUCCUAGUAAGAACAUCUCUCAGAAAAUAGACACCACAGGAAGGUGUAAAAUUCCAGGGAAUAAAAAAGUUAUUCCUAUCAGGUAGCUAUGUCACAGGUAAUUAUGAUGGUAUAAAACAUUUUGGCAGCCCCAACCACCAAGAAGGGAUUGUUAGCACAAUAAGGGACAUUUACGUAUUGGACAAAUACUCCUUUGUUGCACUUGCAUAUCUACAGAUUUUGAAGAUUUGUAUCCAUGUUCCUCAAAUCAGUGGAAGUAGAUCUGGUGGAAGAAGGCAUAAUACAACCUGUCGAGUUCCUUUUAAAAAUUAUUCUGUCUACUUUGGUGAUAAAAAGCAGGAAAAGCUAUAGGGUUUUUUUCUUUUCAAGCUCUGGAGGCAGGGAGGGGGGAAAGCCUGGUUGUAGCAGACGCUGGCUACGUAAGCACUGAUUUGUGACAAUAAUAUGUGUUCAUUUGUAUGAAUAACCUUGUUGAGUCACUUGAGGAAGUUUUUGUAUACACACUUCAAGAGGAACUUAGUGAUCUAGAAUUAAGACUCAGAUACAUUCCAUUCUGGAAAUAAACAGAGUAGGAUGGUAUUUUGCUUUUGAUGUUCCCUGAGCUUGAAAUGAAUGAACAGCCUGCAUGAUCAUACACAAGUGUGGACUAGAACUGUUUGUUCCUUGUAAUGAGAAAUAUUGUGUGGAUGUUAGUAGGGGACUUAGCUCCAAAUAAGUUUUUGUAAUUAAUUUUCUAUAUUUGAUUGCCUUUUGUUGAAUCUGUUUGGAUUAAUGUUUACAAUUGGGUAUCUUGUAAUGGAUACAAUUGGGUAUCUUGAAUAGCCUUCUAUCUUUUUUUCAAGCUAGUAUGAAUGUGAUUGCUGUCUGUUGCAUCUUUUCAAAGCAUUCUGACAAAUGCCAUAGUCCUUAGAAAGGAGGAAGUUUUAAGGGAAUUACCUGGAUUUUAAAUUCUGGUAAACUAAUGACUGUCUCUAUAUUUGAGGCCUAAAACCCUACUGGAAACAGCCUGUGCUUGGACAUACUGUAUUUUUUGCCCUAUAGGGUGCACCGGCCCUCAGGGCACACCUAGUUUGGGGGAGGGGAAUAAAGAAAAAAAAAUUAUUUCCCCCCCAGGUGUGGGGCUGGAAUCCGCAGGGCUGGCUGCUAUUUCGCCCCCCAGGCGCGGGCUUCGGGCAGAUAUCCGCAAGCCUGGGGAGACCGGCAGGAGUUCUCUGAGGGAGGGAGUUCCCUAGGGAGGGACCGGCGGGAGUUCCCUAGGGAGGGAGUUCCCUCCCUAGGCUUGCGGAUAGCUUCCUGAAGCCUGGAGAGCGAGAGGGGUCGGAACUCCCGCCGGUCUCCCCAGGCUUGCGGAUAUAUGCCCGAAGCCCGGGGGCGCUCCACUGCGCUCCCCGGGUUUCGGGCUGCAGGCUGCUGUCCGCAAGCCUUGGGAGCCCGGCGGGAACUCCCGCGGGCUCCCAAGGCUUGCAGAUAGCUUCCUGAAGCCUGGAGAGCGAGAGGGGUCGGUGUGCACCGACCCCUCUUGCUCUCCAGGCUUCAGCGAAAGCCUGCAUUCGCUCCAUAGGACGCACACACAUUUCCCCUUUAUUUUUGGAGGGGAAAAAGUGUGUCCUAUAGGGCGAAAAAUACAGUAGUUUGAAUGUGCCAUUUACUUUGAGCAUUAGUCUUUCACUCACAAGAAGACAAUCCCUUCCUCUUUUUGAAUUCUGUUGGAUAAGGAACGAUAACAAGUAUGGAAAGAUUUCAGCAUGUUGAAUAUUCCAUCAACCAGGCUUUUCAGCUUGCCAGAAGGAAUGAACUCCACUCUGCUUCUCCUCUGUUAGAGGAAUUUUAAGGUCUUAUUUAUAUAAAAUAAAUGUUCAUUACUGUACAAGGCAAACACAUACAUACAUACAUACAUACAUACAUAAAUAAAUAAAUAAAUAAAUAAAGCACAUGUCUGGAAACAGUACAGGAAAACAGUCCUAAAGCCAUUUUGAAUCUUUAAGUCACCUCAAAUAUUUCUCUGCAAGGAGGAACGAAAUGGAAAAGCCUCCCCAUUGUCUCUUUGUUCACAAAUCCUGUCUUAAGGGUGUCUCUGUGUGAAUAGGGUGAGCCUGUGACCUGGAUUCAGGAAUUAAGUACCGGUAGUUAUCAUCACAAUUUGUUGAUGUUUGUUGUUGUUUAGUCGUUUAGUCAUGUCCGACUCUUCGUGACCCCAUGGACCAGAGCAUGCCAGGUACUCCUGUCUUUCACCGCCUCCUGCAAUUUGGUAAAACUCAGUUUGGUUGGUAGCUUCGAGAACACUGUCCAACCAUCUCGUCCACCGUCAUCCCCUUCUCCUUGGGCCCUCAAUCUUUCCCAGCAUCAGGGUCUUUUCCAGGGAGUCUUCUCUUCUCAUGAGGUGGCCAAAGUAUUGGAGCUUCAGCUUCAGGAUCUGUCCUUCCAGUGAGCACUCAGGGCUGAUUUCCUUCAGAAUGGAUAGGUUUGAUCUUCUUGCAGUCCAUGGGACUCUCAAGAGUCUUCUCCAGCACCAUAACUCAAAAGCAUCAAUUCUACGACGAUCAGCCUUAUUUAUGGUCCAGCUCUCACUUCCAUACCUCAGAGAGACAUUCAGUGAAACAAAGUAUGUACUAUUUUCUGAAGUAUGUGACGAUCUCCUAGCCAGACAAACAUCAGAGCUCAGGCAAUGUGAGAACUUGCAUGGCUACUCUUAUGUUUUAUGCUUUUUGUUGUUGAAUUUUUCUGGCUUUUUCUUUCAAAUACCAUGUAAACUCAAAUUUUCUUAAAUACGGGCUGAUUUAUUUUUUUAUUAUUAAAAGUAUGUGCCUGCAGUCUUUCCACUCACCUUCUUGUGCUUCUGCUCUGUUAAUGCACAAUGAAGAGGUUUGAACUACCCCAAAAUAUGGAGGGGAGGGAUUGCGUGUAAAAGGAUACUUAGUAAGGCAUUAUAGAAAUUCUAGACGGUGAAAGCUGAUAUAUUUUGGGAGUCCUCCUGCCUUCAUUCUAUUGCUAAUCUGUCACGUUAAGAUUUAGGUUAUUAUUCUAAACUGAUUAUUCUAAAACCUUUGUUUAAGAUAGUUUUCAAAACAACCCAAAGUGGUUUAGUUUAUAUUCCCUCAUCUUCAAGUAUUGUGAUCAUGUGUAUAAGAUGGUUUUUACUAUUUUUCUAUAUGAAUCAAUGAGUUAAUUAAUUUACUUUUUUUCAUUCAUCACUUCGUUGUAAACAAAAUCUGCCCUUUUUCCCUUAUGGGAUAUCCAAGAGCCGUAUAGAGUCCUUAAGUGGGUUCCCUAUUGGUAGGAGAAAAUAACAGAGGCCAACCAGAGAAUAUUGAGAAGCAAAGCAGCUAGUAAGCCUGAUCUUAAUUAAAACAGUUGCAACAGGGUGCUCCCCCCACAUGCAGGAGAGAGGAGGAGGACCCAGAACAAAGGUGUGCCAGCUCUUAUAUAGACUUUUGAAAUUGCCCACCCUCAAACUCAAGACCACCCCAAUACAUCAUACAUACAUCACAGAAAGAGGUGGUUUCCAGCAAAAUCCUGUCUGGCAGAAAACCUGUCAAUGGUCACGGAUUGGAUCACCCGGGCAGCCUGGCCAUUCUUUUGUAAUGAUAAAUACUUAAUUCCUGAGCCAGGUCACAGGCUCACUCUAUUCACACCUUAAAUGUGCCUUUAAGCCAGGAUUUGUGAGCGCAAAGACAGUGGGGAGGUUUUUUUCAUUUCAUUUCCUUGCAGAGAAACAUUGGUCAGUUUGGGAGAGUCAAAAUGGUUUCAGGACUGUCUUCCUGUACUGUUUCAGACAUGUGGUAUAUAUAUUUAUGUACGUGUUUUCCUUGUACAUUCAAUUUAUAUAUUUGAGACCUUAAAUUCUUAUAACAACUUUGUGUUAUUAAUAUGUAUAGAAUUUCAGUUACAUGAGUCUAGUAUAAGGGAUAGAUGACUCAAAGUUUCUGAUAAUAAACCACCUUAUCUUAUGUUGCUUUGUCUUCUACUAGCCUAGCUCUUGUCUGAGAAACCUCUGUAGAUAAUUGACCAAACAAACAUGACUGGUGAUUUUCUAUCUUAUUUUCUGAAUUUCCAGUCUUUUGAGCUUGAACAUCUGCAAUGUUCAGAGCCACUCUUACAAGGAAAAAUUAAUCUACCUACAUUUUCUGAUAUGAUUUUUAGUUAUGAAAACACAGUUUUAAAAAACCCUAAAGAUAAUCCAAAUCCUUGAAUGUCUGCCUAAAUGCAGAACUUGUGUGUCAAUUUUUUAGCUAGGCAUGGAUAGUUAAGAAUUUCAGCUUUGUUUUUCCUCUUUCUGUCAAAAGAUGUUUUGUUUCUGCUCUGUAUACUUUCCAAGGCACACACAACAGAAGCAUACACAAAAGCUCCAUUCAUGCUGGUGUUUUUUUAGCUACUAAGCAAUGUCCCCUUUCUAUGUAGCUGAUGAACCUUGCAGCAGUGUGGCAUUGACCCUCAGGAAACCUUGAGAAAUUGAAGCCACAUUUUUUAUAUCUGCAUAAUCACCUCUCACUUCCAGACAGUAAGAGGCACAUACAUAUUAGCUGGCUUGCUAGCUGCUGCUGAAACACCAUUCUACUUGUUCUUUCCUUUUACUACUGUAAGAUUCACUCAACCCAAUCCAAAUUUGUCAGAUUUCAAUUUGAUUCCUAAUCCAUCAGUUGUUAUAAAUGGUGAGGGGGGAGAAUAAUAAAGGACUAAUAUUUGGCUCAUUGUUAAAGUAUCCUUUAAAUAUUAAUAUAUGGAGAGACUUGGCACCAGGACCAGCUCUGUCAUUAGGCAGAGUGAGGUAGUCAGCUCAGGCAGCUGAUUUAGGGUGCAGAAUGCUGAAGCCUGGUUGCUGUGGGAGGCAAUGAGAAGGGAUAUAUGACCACCAUAAACCACAACACUCACUGUUGCUGAGCUACUGAUUCAGGAUUUUGUUAUGAGGAUAUAAAGUCCUUAGCAACUUGGGACUCAAUUCUGAUAAGGAGUACCUUCCCAGAUUUUAAAAAAGAGGAAAAACUAAUUCACAUUUAAAGAGCUAUAUAAUAAAAGCUAGAAAAAUAUGUUUUACUCCAGGAAUCUUAAGAAACUCAAAGUAAAAACUGGCCCAGAGUUUGUACUAGUAUGUCUGACCACCAGGAAUUGCUUAAUUUGCAAAUGGGUCACUGAAAUAUUGCCAAUCUCACAUUGGCAGCAGGAUGUUUUUUACUUAGUGGAUUUCCUUUGGUAAGGGGAAAUUUGGGUUAUAUAUAGGCUGGCAUUUUGAUACCAUAGGUGGUGUAUGGGGACUGCAAAAAAUUGUAUGUAUGGUGGACAUUAAUCCCACAACGGACACCCAUCUGGAAGGGUCACAGCUUUCCAUAGCCAGGUCUUUCUGGGUCAACUGCGGGAUUUGAGCUGCCCGACUCUUGUGCAAACUGAUUUGGGGAGCUGACCGCUGUGCUGUAAGCACAGCUGUUGCUAAGCUUUGUUUGCUAUACUUGAUCAAAUGAUUGCCCAUAUUUGCACUAUGAGCUUAGGCACGUAUUAACACCAGGACAGUUACUGUGUCUAGUCACAUCUUUUUGUUGGACUGACGCAAAACUUGUGCUUGCAUUACUGUAUAAUCAAGCAGGACCACUCUGUUCUGAAGCCAAAUCUUCCUCUGUCCAUCAGGGUAGAUGAACAUCUGUGCUCUUUUAAAAAAAAAUCUAAGGCUUUUUUUUGUUUUGUUUUUUAAAUCUGUUGUGACCCUAGAAACAACCUGGUUUAAAAUUAUAUCUGAUGAGUCUAUCCUCAGGCCCUUAAAAUUUAAUCUAUGACCCUUUUAUCAAGUAGACUGCUUUCUUAAGCAAAAGAACAAAAACAGGAAAAAAAUAAUCUUCAGGUAUUCUGGCACAAAGAUAAUGAUUAUAUCCAAAUAUGCAGUUGUACUCAAGGGGACGCGGGUGGCACUGGUCUAAACCACAGAGCCUAGGGCUUGCCAGUCAGAAGGUCGGCAGUUCGAAUACCCACAAUGGGGUGAGCUCCCAUUGCUCGGUCUCUGCUCCUGCCAGCCUAGCAGUUCGAAAGCACGAAGUGCAAGUAGAUAAAUAGGUACCACUCCGGCGGGAAAGUAAACGGUGUUUCCAUGCACUGCUCUGGUUCGCCAGAAGCAGCUUAGUCAUGCUGGCCACAGUACCCGGAAGCUGUACACCGGCUCCCUCGGCCAGUAAAGCGAGAUGAGAGCCGCAACCCCAAAGUCGUCCGCAACUGGACCUAACGAUCAGAGGUCCCUUUACCCUUUUAUGCAAUAAUACUACUGCAGGCGUGUCCAACAGGUAGAUCGUGAUCUACCGGUAGAUCACUGGAUGUCUGCGGUAGAUCACUGGUAGAUCAUUGGCUCUUCCCAAAGAAGCUGAACAACUGUGAUUCCCCUAGAAAAAGCUCAACAUUUUACCUCCUCCCUGAAAAAACUCAAGAACUUUGACCUGAACCCCCAAAAAGGCGGUAGAUCACUGCCAGUUUUUAACUCUGUGAGUAGAUCACAGUCUCUUGGGAGUUGGCCACCCCUGUACUACUCGAAAGCCGCUUCUGCUCAUGGCAGGAUUGGUUCUGACCUAGAAAAAGAAGAAUCCCACCCCCCCUCAGGCCCUUCUAAUAGCCCACUCCAGCCUGUAUAUAUUUCCCUUAUUCUCCUUGUUUCUCAUUCUGUAAUACUACCCCUAAGCAUGGUGGUGCUAUUUUGAGAAACUUUAGCAGUUUUGUAAGAGUCCAUGGAAUAACACUAUAUUCUCCACUUCCACUCACGUUUCUUUGUAUCUAAACCAUUGCAUUAAAUGUUUUGGAAAUUAUUAGUAUUUGGGCUCUGUCAACUAAAACAGCAUGAACAUUUGCUUUCCAUAUCGUGGAAAAGUAUUUUUCUGCCCAGUUAUCUAGCCUUUGCUUCUGAAAAGUUCUCUGUGCUUAGGCUCAGUGCUACAUAUAAUUACAGGCAGUAAGUUCAACUGACCUGGGAGGGACUUCCUUCCAAGUAAAUAGGCAUAGGAUUGUAUUAUUGUGUUAUCUCUCUUAAAGGGAACGAUCCUGCUUAGGCCAGACUGCAUGUGAUGCUACAACAUACACAAAGCCUCUUAUGUGUAGGUAAAAAAGAAGUGUUUAUUCAGGCAAGCAGUGGUAAAGGCUUGGCAGAAGACACACCAUUCAGGAGUCAUGAUUCAGAAGUUCAGGAAUUAGGCAGGAUGUUCAGGACUGGAUGGAAGCAGUGAAGAUGUCCCAAUGGAGACAGAGCCCAUGAAAGUAAAUGCAACUUAGAAAAUUCAUUAAGUGCUCCCCCCUUUGUUUACUAAAAAGAUGCAGGGGCCAGUUUUCAUUAGGACUGCAGCAAAUAGGGAGGUUAAUUUAACAUUUUCCUCCCCAACAGCAACCCCAGUUAAAAUCCGCUCCCUGCUAUUAACCUGAGCAGUGGAGAACUCCCACUGACACCUGCCAGGGAAAGGAUGACAAUGCCAAAGGGCUCUCCCAGACAACCUGUUUAUUGAGCAUUCACUUUGAUUUGCUUGCACAAAGCUUACAUAGAGAUUAGACUAUGUCUAGUCUUUAUGGAGCAUUUGUUCUGGUUUGUUUGUGGGAUGAUUAUACAACAAUCUGCAUUCAUCCUGAUUUCUUUGCAGAGUGCUUAUAAUCUUUCUAUUAUUCAUUGUUACUACACAUUUCAGUGCAUUUAUAAGUCAUUUUCCUAACUGCAAAAAGUUAAUUUCUUUUUUUAAAGUGAAUGUUUAGGGUGACAAAGCAAUUUAAUCCACUUUAAUUGUGUGAACUUAAAUUUCCCGUUAUGCAUUUGACUCAUUCCCACAAAAUAUUGACAACCCCAAAAGUCUUGUGGCACCUAACAGGAACAAAUUCACUAUGGCAUAAGCUUUUGUGGACUAGAGCCCAUUUAAUGAGAUGUGAUCUUGCAGCUAAUGAAGUAGAUUUUAAAUUGUGAACACUCACAUCACAAUAAAUUUGUGUAUUUUGUAAGGUACCACAAGAUACAUCAUUGGUUUUACUGCAACAAACUAAUACAGCUACAGUACCAUGAAAACAGCAUAAUAAAAUACAUGUAAUAAAACACAUAUAAUGCAUAAAAUAUACAUGCAAAUAUGGCAUACCAUAUAUUUCAGGUCACAAGGCUAAACUCCUAGGUUUUCCUGAGUUGGGAAGCUUUUACUGCAAACUUAGCUAAACAUAACAGGCUUAGCUACACUAGACAUCAGAUGUUUUAUUUUAUCAACGUCACUGUGAGUGGUGGUUGGCUCUUGAAUUUUCUUUAAAUAUUUUGCCUUUGGAAUUUUGUAAAACUUGCAAUAUAACAUAUAAUGAAUGAUGACCCCUACUAUCUGGUAUACACAGAUCCAGAAGCACUGUCUUUCAGGAAUUUUCUUGUAACACCCACCUAAGAAGUUGGUUUUGAUAGUCUGAAAUAGAAGUUUAUAAAAUAAUGCAUGGUGUUGAGAAAACAGACAAUGAUUUUUUUUGGUCCCUCAUAAUACUAGAGCUUGGAGCUUUAUGAAGUUGAAUGUUGGAAAAUUCAGGACAAAACAAAGAAAGUCACUCAGGAUAUAGUUACAGAGGAGGCAGUGAUGGCCACUAACUUGGAUGGAUUUAAAAGAGAAUUAAGACAAAUUCAUGGAGGUUGUGGCUAUUACAGUGGUGCCCCGCAAGACGAAUGCCUCGCAAGACGGAAAACCCGCUAGACGAAAGGGUUUUCCGUUUUGGAGGUGCUUCGCAAAACGAAUUUCCUAUGUGCUUGCUUCGCAAGACGAAAAUGUCUUGCGAGUUCCUGCGGGGUUUUUUUCCUUUCCCCCCCCUUUUUCCCAAGCCGCUAAACCGCUUAUCAGCUGAUGGCUAAGCCGCUUAUCAGCUGAUAUUUAAGCCGCUUAACAGCUGAUGCUAAGCCGCUUAUCAGCUGAUCUUUAAGCCGCUUAACAGCUGAUGGCUAAGCCGCUUAUCAGCUGAUCUUUAAGCCGCUUAUCAGCUGAUCUUUAAGCCGCUUAACAGCUGAUGCUAAGCCGCUUAUCAGCUGAUCGUUAAGCCACUUAUCAGCUGAUCUUUAAGCCGGCUAAGCCGCUAAUACUGUAGCGCUAAGCCGCUAAACCUCUAAUGGGCUUGCUUCGCAAGACGAAGAAACCCGCAAGACGAAGAGACUCGCGGAACGGAUUCUUUUCGUCUUGCGAGGCACCACUGUAGUGGCUACUAGCCAACUACCACUGGCAUGUUACCACAGAGGUUUGACGAUAAUGGAAAGCAAAAGGUUGAAAUAGGUUCCCAACUCCUGUUUAAAGCUUUAUAUCAUGGGUAGGCAAACUAAGGCCCAAGGGCCGGAUCCAGCCCAAUCGCCUUCUAAAUCCAGCCCGCAGACGGUCCGGGAAUGAGCGUGUUUUUACAUGAGUAGAAUGUGUCCUUUUAUUUAAAAUGCAUCUCUGAGUUAUUUGUGGAGCCUGCCUGGUGUUUUUACAUGAGUAGAGUGUGUGCUUUUAUUUAAAAUGCAUCUCUGGGUUAUUUGUGGGGCAUAGGAAUUCGUUCAUCCCACACACAAACACCCCAAAAAAUAUAGUCCAGCCCCCCACAAGGUCUGAGGGACAGUGGACCGGCCCCCUGCUGAAAAAGUUUGCUGACCCCUGCCUUGGAUAGGCUCUGUGAAACAUAUAUCAGAGGCUUCUUCCUUUUCUUCUUUUAUGCCCCACUGUAACUCUGAGGAUCGACAAAAGAGUGUCCUCUCUAGUCUAGUUGCAACAAACAGCAGUGGUGAACCUCUUCACAUCGUAGGUAGGGGUUCACAUCCAUUUCACCCAAGGGUUCCCCACACAUGGGAAUUUAGCAUAUCAGCAAGAGUGAUUCUAAUCCAACCUUCUCCCUGACAGGGUAGCUUUCUAUGUCUAGGUUCCCCACCCUCCUGCAUAAGGCAGUAUUCUGUCAUGUGAACCUACAACUAGUCUAUGGUGGUACAGUCCAGAUCUUGGUUUUACUAAGUCAUUUGAAAAUUUUCAUACCACGUUUUCAAUGUAUAUGCCUUAACCAUGGCAGCUUACAUCAUUUCAUUACACACACACAAUCUCAAAGCAACACAGUAGUACCUCAGGUUACAAACACUUCAGGUUACAGACUCCGCUAACCCAGAAGUAGGUUAAGAACUUAACCUCAGGAUGAGAACAUAAAUCGCAUGGCGGCAGCAGGAGGCCCCAUUAGCUAUAGUGGUUCCUCAGGUUAAGAAUGGUUUCAGGUUAAGAACAGACCUCUGGAACGAAUUAAGUUCGUAACCAGAGGUACCACUGUAUAAAAAUGCAGAGAAGCUAAGCCGAAAAGAACUAAGUACACCAUAUAAAAACAAACAUAACAUUCCAGGCCUGAAAGCCCUUAGAAAGUUUAAGACUACUAGCAUAACCUUUUAAUCUUAUAAUUGAAUAGAUGGUGCCUUCUUUUGCCAUGUGACAGCAACGAAAGCUGCAUUUCUAUGCUGAUAACUUGAAAAAUGACUCCCGUGUGAACAGAUCUACCAUUAAACAUUAUAGCAAGAUAAGCUUAUGGAAAACCAAUUCCCAUAGCUUGUUUCUACUAGGGGCAAUGCAGUAUUCUACAAUAGCAAUAGUUACCCUGAAGAUAGUCAUAUGAAGCCUCCAAUUUGUUAUCACUUGCAUCUUUAUACAGAAGUUGAAAAACUGGCUUGGCCCAGGAUCUGUUAGCCAUUUUAAAAAACAAAAAAAACCCUUGGAGGUAAAACUAUUAUGUAAACUUUGAAUAAAGAGUACUCUUGUUACUUUCCUUAGUAACUCUUGUUUCCAUAAUGCCAUAUAGAACAUAACUGAGGGAGUUGAAACUUCUGAGCCCUACUGUGGUUCUGUUUACUGCAUCAGGGCAGGACUAUUUCUGGAGAUUUUACUGCACUAGAUAAGGCAGGAAAGAUACAACCCUCCAAGGUCAGUUAUCAUAUUGACUCUGGAAAACUAUGGAUUCUCUUUGUACAACACUCUCUAUAGUCUCUCACAAACAUCAUAGCAUGAUUCAGCACACCAAGUAGUUACCAGCCACAAACAGUGAAAGCAAGAGCAUAAUGUCUUAAGAUGCUCCAGUCAUUAGGAGUCAGUGUGAUAUAGCAGAAGGUCAUUUUAGAACUGAGGAGACUCGCGUCCUAAUCUUUACUCAGCUACAAAACUCUGUGACCUUGUGCCAGUCAUACCCUCUCAGCCUAACCAACCACAUAAGGUUGCUGUGAGUAUGAAAUGUGAGAGGGAAGAACCAUGUAUGCCACAAUGAGCUCAUUGGAGGAUGUGUGAAAUAUAAAUUUAGAUUGAAAAUUAAUAAUAUAUGUAUUAAUAAUAAAUGUCCUGCUUGGCCCUGACGGCUGUCAGAUCUUUCCAAAAUAAGGUCGCCUGUAUUGCCUGGUCAGUUUGUUGGGUCACACAUCCAGAAGGGAACCCCUUAUUGUUGGACAGGGGAUCUACAGAGCAAGCCCUUUUACCUCAAGUCAGAAGGUUUUUAGAGAAUGAUUUGCUGAGGAUUUCUUCCAGGUCCCUGCUGACCUAGACAUGUGUGUGUAUUUAUCUUAGUAAAGCCUGCUGGGUCACAUCACAAGAAAGUUAGACCCAAAAGGUUCUUCUCCUGCAACAUCACAUUUAUACAAUUGUAUUGCAUUUCAUAAUACAUAUGUCACAACGUCACCCCACAAUGAACUCCGUGCCUCACAGAUCCAAAGAGACCAACAGCCAAUCUUAACUAAUACUAGCACAAAUCUAUUUAUUAUCAUGUUGAAAAGAGCGUACAUUGGUGUCAGAUGAAGGUCGUUUUUAAGCCUCUGAUCCCAACUGUGUGCCAUACUAUUCCCAUGUUAUAAUAAGAAUCCAAUAUUCAUUUCAACCCUAACCGAUUGAUUGAAAAGAUAUCAUGCUACUUAUGCAUGCGUGCCCCUUCUCUCCAAUUUGGCAGUCGUUGAGUCUAGAGUUCAAGGCAAGCUAUCAGCUCCUGCCCCAAGGGAUCAGUGGUAGCUUACACAGUCACUAGUUGUUUGCUGUUCUCCUCCCCACACCCCAGCAUCCCUAUUGCUUCAUGGUUUGUUUCCAAGAGCAAACAGAGUCAAAGCAGCCACACACACACACACACACACACACACACAGUCGCAGUCUCAAACAUAUUCUGCAAGUUAUAUAACAGAAUAAGCUUUUCCUUAGUGAAAGUUACCUGUGAGCUGGACUUCCUUUGGGUGCCUUUGAAUCCAAAGCAUGCUAUGAAAUGGUAGGCUGGACGCAACCAUAUCCUUUGAAUUCCUAUUUGGCUUUCUUCCUGAUAGUUCUGUUGACAUCUCUUAAGAGUCCCUUGACUGUGCUAAUUGGAUUCUUGAGGUCAUUUCCAACAUUCUAUAUGCGAUCUGCAUAAAAAUUAAUCUGUUGCUCCCUGUACAGAAAUUUAAACCACUUUCUGAUUAUCUGUUCUGCCCCAUGAGAGAUUUGACAUUAUCACCAAAAGAUUCCUUCCUUUAUUAAUAAGUGUUAUUAAAGUGUACUGUAUUGACUCUAGCAUUUUAGCUCUAAUCUAUGCAUUUAAUGUACUAAGCCAAGUCAAUAUGUUAGAUAGAAUGCUAUAUUCUGUCUUUUUAAAUUGUUAACAUACGCCUGAAUUUGUGUUCCAUUUUCCUAAAUAAAUCUUACUGUUCCUAAUAUUAACAGUUUUUGUGCCCCACCCCACCACAGAAUGAAGAUGCAAGACAUUGAGUUUGAGGGGACAACUUUAUUAAUGUAAAAAAGGUAUGUGCAGUGAGGAAUUUUUUGUAAUUGGCAUCUGUCUGUCUCGAGAGACAAUGGAGUGUGCCUCCAGGAGUGAAGCCAAACCACUGUGUUAGCAGCAUCAAAGUGACCUCCCAGGGACGCAAGCUUGGGCAGUGUGUAUGGAGGUCCUGAGCUGCCCAGAUGACAAGACCCAUCUUGGCUCAAAGCCCCUCAUUAAAAUGUACUGAUCAGAGCCUUCCUUUACCCACGUCUCUAAAAUGGCUGGUUGAAGGGGUUGCCCUAGAGGAGCACCUCUCCUCUCCCCUGGUGUCAAGCAUUCAGAAGGAAGAACCUCAUGGGGUUCAAGGUUUGGUCUGUCAUGUUUCUCCUUGAGCAAUAGCUGUGGGAAUCCCUCUCCACUGAGGUGCAUCUGAUCCCAUCAUUAUAUAGCUUUCAUCACAUUCUGAAGAUGCACCUCAUCCCUUUGACCCACCCUUUUCUGCUGAUGAUUGAUGGUAAAUUGUUUUAACGGAUUUUAAUAUUGUAUUUCUGGAUUUUUGUAACCCACCCUGUAACCUUAUGGUUAAGUGCAGGAAAGAUAUUUAACCAAUAAAUAAUAGAUUGGGAAAACAUCCCUUCACUAUGUGAGUGCCCUUGAGCGCUCACCAGGGAAGUCACUCUAAACUUCUCCCUCCCUGCUCACACUACUUGUCACAAGGCAUGACCCUCUCCACCCUACCUGCUGACCACAAGGUCAAGCAAGCAGCACUGCAGUUCCCUGCCCCAAGGAACCUACCAUAUCCCACAAUAGUGAGCUUAGGCUGCAGUGCUUGAUCACAUUGUAAUGAAUGCUCUGUUUUCCUGAAUAAAUCUUACUAUUUCUAAUUCACCUUUUUUCCCCUUGGUGUGAGUAUUCAGUACUUCUUGCUUAGCUAUAAAGUAUAUAUAUAUGUGACUUCAAUACAUUCAAAUUUUGAAUCAAUAUAGAGAGACAGCAC
This is a non-coding RNA of Podarcis lilfordi (Lilford's wall lizard), 16912 nucleotides long. The record is from the annotation of a GenBank genome assembly. Lineage: Eukaryota; Metazoa; Chordata; Lepidosauria; Squamata; Lacertidae.